UUCUGUGGUUGAUUGCCAUUACAUCGUGGGAAGAAAACAGUGGCCACCUUCUUUGUGGUUUACGGUGUACAAAGGUGUACAAAUUCCACAGAAAUCAAAACACAGAACAGCAACUGUGAAUAUUCUAAUUUACAGCCCGUUGGUUCAGACACAAUUAGGAGGGUGGUUUACCACAAAUUUCAGUGGUCCUAUGAAAUCAUUUCAUCUAUAUCUAGACCGAGCCAGCAUGGCUUUUCAUAAUAUCACCAUCUGCGUAACGAUUCAAUGUUCAAAAAUCCCCUUCAAAAUCAUGAUUCACUUAAACUUAAUUUAGUAUUUUGUUGACUAAACAUAUAGGCCUAUAGAGAACUAGUCAUCAUUAAUCAUUUUCUGGAAGACAUACGCAAUGAUGCAAUCACAAAGUGACUUAUAAGUUUGUUUUAAUUAAUGUCAUUUACACAACACAAAGGUUCAUAAAAUAUGUUGUUAGAGGAUGGUACUGAUCAUCUUUUGAUGAGUCAGCUGACUCUGCAUUCUCUUUGGAGGAAAAGGGGUGGGGGGAUUUGGAAUAUAAAUCAAUGUAGAAAAACCCCAUACUAAAGUCUAAUAUCAAUUCUAUGUCAAAGAAAUUAGAUAGGGUUUGGCCACUUAAUGUCACAGUUGAACUAUUUUUCAUAAUUUUAACCCCUUCAACAAAUAUCUACUAUCUGUUGUCAAGGCAACCGACAGCGGUCUAUGAAAAUUAUUAUUGAAACUGCUAAAUUCAGCUUGUUCCAUCCAUAUUUUUUUGUCCUUGUGGUAUAUUGAAAUUUAAAAUUGAAAACAAACACUCACUCUCCAUAAAUCUUGUUUUUCGAAAGCAUGUCCUCCUUAGUAUGCUAUUUAUAAACUUCCGUGGUAAAGAGUGCACACUGGUCUUUGUCUCUCUCUCUCUCUCUCUCUCUCUCUCUAUAUAUAUAUAUAUAUAUAUAUAUAUUACAUGUUUUACAAUUUGGCAUUAAAAGCCAAAAAGUGUAAUAUUUUGCUGCAUUUCAUUGAUGAAUUUAAAAACAAUUUGGCAAAUACCUAAAGCAUAAUCAACUGCCUGCAAAAAAUGUUCAUAAUCUAUUUAAGACUUAAUUUUCAUGUUGUGUUAAUUAUAAAAUUAUGAGUAAUUUUAUGUGAAGGUUAAUAACCUGUAAUAUUUAUGUCAAAACUUAGACAGGUUUGAUCGCUGGUGCCAGGUAGCUCAGUCGGUAUAGAGCGCGCAGCUGACUAGAGAAUUCAGGGGCUCUGGGUUAGAAUUCUGGAAUACAAGAAAAUUAAUCAGCAUGUAGUGAUGGUUAAAGACUUCUGUGAGCGAGAUUUCCACGGGUUAAAAAUCUACAGAGAAACAGGGAGGACUGCAUGUAGUAUCAUUGGUUAGGUAACAAUGGAAUGGACUGGGAAUCUUGGAUAUAUUGCAAAGAGCAACUGCACGAGUCCUGAGACAACAGCAGACGAAUUCUAAUCAGAAGAGUUAAAGUGAGCUGGGAAAAAGAGAGAAAAUAUUUUCAAUUAUCUAAUAUGACACAGUGUGUUGAACAAUCAAACAUGAAAUGUAUACUUACCAUUGACUGAGGUAGUGUGAAGGGGGAGUAGGAACGAGCUCUGAUCCAAAGCAGACAGAUGGAAAAUUCAAUAUUCCAUUAUCCUUAAAGAGAUACAAAAACAUGAAAAUAGGCUUAAACAAAUUGAGUUUAGAUUUAAUAACACCAGGCAUAGUGAUCUACACAUGUACAAAUUCAGAUAAGGUAAAGUUUUGUUGCAUCUGUAAUUCCAGUGUUCAAACACAUUCCUCAAAUAUUACAUUACAUUAUGAAUUCAAUGUCUUUGAAACAUGAGAUAGUAACUUCUUGCAUUUAAGAAUGAUAUACCUAGAAUGUAGAAUGUUACCCCCCCCCCCCCUCCCCCCAAUCAAUGACCUCCCUAAUAUAAAACCUUAAUUGUUACUCAGGUUAAAUCGUACACCGAGUGUUCUCAAAGAUUGUGCAUCAUACUGUUGUAUUAAUUGUUCUUCAAGUUUCUCCCUAAAUCUAGCAUUGACAUCUUCUCUAUACAGACAGCUCAACUAUCGAGUAUAAAUAGCUCUGUUACUGUCCCAGAAAAUCCUUCUAAUGAUAACUGCUUUCUUCAUAUUCAACAGAUGAAUAGUUUAUAAACAUCUCCAACAGUUGCAGUUUCCCCAUGUGAAACAUUUCCCAAUAUGAAAUAUAGCCAUGAUGUGCACAGCUUGAACUUGUCCUAAAUGAAGAUGCUUCAUUAAACAUAUUGAUCUCAGACGCAAUACCUUUUGUCAUUCAAGAAACGAUUUUUAAAAACUCCAAGUCUUGACAGUAGUUUCAGAAAGAAAUUCAUAAUUCGUUUUCAUGUACGUAAAUAGUAUUAUUAUCAUGACGGAAUUUGUCGAGAUCACCUUUAAGUGGGCGACACAUAGGAAUAUUUCAUUAACACAA
Molecule: long non-coding RNA, 2453 nt
Organism: Ostrea edulis (European flat oyster)
Lineage: Eukaryota; Metazoa; Mollusca; Bivalvia; Ostreida; Ostreidae
Exons: 2
Source: RefSeq, a predicted model, not a curated record